RNAcentral lists this ribosomal RNA (774 nucleotides) under uncultured Neocallimastigales. RNAcentral describes it as "partial large subunit ribosomal RNA". It matches the Rfam family "Eukaryotic large subunit ribosomal RNA", at positions 23 to 639 of the family's 3401-position model. Lineage: Eukaryota; Fungi; Neocallimastigomycota; Neocallimastigomycetes; Neocallimastigales. The record is from RNAcentral.
AGAGAGAGACAUGCGCGCAUAUCAAUAAGCGGAGGAAAAGAAACUAACUAGGAUUCCCUCAGUAACGGCGAGUGAAGCGGGAAGAGCUCAAAUUUGAAAUCUUCAAGGUUCUACCUUGACGAAUUGUAGUUUAAAGAAGUGUUUUCUGUUGGAGUUUUGGUAAAAGUUCUUUGGAAUAGGACAUCAUAGAGGGUGAGAAUCCCGUAUUUGACCAUUAUUUCCAGCUUUGUGAUACACUUUCAAAGAGUCGGAUUGUUUGGGAAUGCAGUCCAAAAUGGGUGGUAAAUUUCAUCUAAAGCUAAAUAUUGGCGAGAGACCGAUAGCGAACAAGUACCGUGAGGGAAAGAUGAAAAGAACUUUGAAAAGAGAGUUAAACAGUACGUGAAAUUGUCAAAAGGGAAGCGUUUGACACCAGUGUUGUUUUCUCGAAAAUCAAUUAAAAAAGGCAGGAUUUUGUGUUGUAUUGACUUUAUCAGCUUUCUGCACUCUUUUCUUGUCUUUUUUAAUGCACUUUUCGUUUAACAAGUCAACAUCAAUUUCUUUUGUUGUAAAAGGGUCAUUGGAAGGUGGCUUUCUUUUCGGAGAAAGUGUUUAUAGCCUUUGGCCUCUGCAAUCGGAGAGAUUGAGGUCUGCAGCGUAGAUCCUUCGGGGUUAGAUACAUUUGUGCUAAGUUAUAGCCUUUCAUAGACAACUUGUUGACUAUGAUCAGUCAUGUAGCUUACUCUCUUAUGCUAUUUUACCUACGCUUAGGAUGUUGAUGUGAUACUGCGAGCA